AGGUUAACCGAAUAGGGGAGCCGGAGGGAAACCGAGUCUUAAUUGGGCGUUAAGUUGCAGGGUAUAGACCCGAAACCCGGUGAUCUAGCCAUGGGCAGGUUGAAGGUUGGGUAACACUAACUGGAGGACCGAACCGACUAAUGUUGAAAAAUUAGCGGAUGACCUGUGGCUGGGGGUGAAAGGCCAAUCAAACCGGGAGAUAGCUGGUUCUCCCCGAAAGCUAUUUAGGUAGCGCCUCGUGAAUUCAUCUCCGGGGGUAGAGCACUGUUUCGGCUAGGGGGCCAUCCCGGCUUACCAACCCGAUGCAAACUGCGAAUACCGGAGAAUGUUAUCACGGGAGACACACGGCGGGUGCUAACGUCCGUCGUGAAGAGGGAAACAACCCAGACCGCCAGCUAAGGUCCCAAAGUCAUGGUUAAGUGGGAAACGAUGUGGGAAGGCCCAGACAGCCAGGAUGUUGGCUUAGAAGCAGCCAUCAUUUAAAGAAAGCGUAAUAGCUCACUGGUCGAGUCGGCCUGCGCGGAAGAUGUAACGGGGCUAAACCAUGCACCGAAGCUGCGGCAGCGACGCUGAUGCGUUGUUGGGUAGGGGAGCGUUCUGUAAGCCUGCGAAGGUGGCCUGUGAGGGUUGCUGGAGGUAUCAGAAGUGCGAAUGCUGACAUAAGUAACGAUAAAGCGGGUGAAAAGCCCGCUCGCCGGAAGACCAAGGGUUCCUGUCCAACGUUAAUCGGGGCAGGGUGAGUCGACCCCUAAGGCGAGGCCGAAAGGCGUAGUCGAUGGGAAACGGGUUAAUAUUCCCGUACUUGGUGUUACUGCGAAGGGGGGACGGAGAAGGCUAUGUUGGCCGGGCGACGGUUGUCCCGGUUUAAGCGUGUAGGUGUGUGUUCCAGGUAAAUCCGGUUCACUUUAACACUGAGGCGUGACGACGAGGCACUACGGUGCUGAAGCAACAAAUGCCCUGCUUCCAGGAAAAGCCUCUAAGCAUCAGGUAACAUCAAAUCGUACCCCAAACCGACACAGGUGGUCAGGUAGAGAAUACCAAGGCGCUUGAGAGAACUCGGGUGAAGGAACUAGGCAAAAUGGUGCCGUAACUUCGGGAGAAGGCACGCUGACAUGUAGGUGAAGUGAUUUACUCAUGGAGCUGAAGUCAGUCGAAGAUACCAGCUGGCUGCAACUGUUUAUUAAAAACACAGCACUGUGCAAACACGAAAGUGGACGUAUACGGUGUGACGCCUGCCCGGUGCCGGAAGGUUAAUUGAUGGGGUCAGCGCAAGCGAAGCUCCUGAUCGAAGCCCCGGUAAACGGCGGCCGUAACUAUAACGGUCCUAAGGUAGCGAAAUUCCUUGUCGGGUAAGUUCCGACCUGCACGAAUGGCGUAAUGAUGGCCAGGCUGUCUCCACCCGAGACUCAGUGAAAUUGAACUCGCUGUGAAGAUGCAGUGUACCCGCGGCAAGACGGAAAGACCCCGUGAACCUUUACUAUAGCUUGACACUGAACAUUGAGCCUUGAUGUGUAGGAUAGGUGGGAGGCUUUGAAGUGUGGACGCCAGUCUGC
RNAcentral lists this ribosomal RNA (1553 nucleotides) under Salmonella enterica subsp. enterica serovar Litchfield. RNAcentral's name for it is "partial 23S ribosomal RNA". It matches the Rfam family "Bacterial large subunit ribosomal RNA", at positions 643 to 2179 of the family's 2925-position model. The record is from RNAcentral. Lineage: Bacteria; Pseudomonadati; Pseudomonadota; Gammaproteobacteria; Enterobacterales; Enterobacteriaceae.